AACGAACGCUGGCGGCAUGCCUAACACAUGCAAGUCGAACGAGAUCUUCGGGUCUAGUGGCGCACGGGUGCGUAACGCGUGGGAAUCUGCCCUUUGGUUCGGAAUAACAGUUGGAAACGACUGCUAAUACCGGAUGAUGACGAAAGUCCAAAGAUUUAUCGCCAGAGGAUGAGCCCGCGUAGGAUUAGCUAGUUGGUGUGGUAAAGGCGCACCAAGGCGACGAUCCUUAGCUGGUCUGAGAGGAUGAUCAGCCACACUGGGACUGAGACACGGCCCAGACUCCUACGGGAGGCAGCAGUGGGGAAUAUUGGACAAUGGGCGAAAGCCUGAUCCAGCAAUGCCGCGUGAGUGAUGGAGGCCUUAGGGUUGUAAAGCUCUUUUACCCGGGAUGAUAAUGACAGUACCGGGAGAAUAAGCACCGGCUAACUCCGUGCCAGCAGCCGCCGUAA
This 449-nucleotide ribosomal RNA is filed under the name uncultured bacterium. Its description in RNAcentral is "partial 16S ribosomal RNA". It matches the Rfam family "Bacterial small subunit ribosomal RNA", at positions 29 to 523 of the family's 1533-position model. The record is from RNAcentral.